Unclassified non-coding RNA from Callithrix jacchus (white-tufted-ear marmoset), 147 nucleotides. It matches the Rfam family "Metazoan signal recognition particle RNA". Rfam says of the family: The signal recognition particle (SRP) is a universally conserved ribonucleoprotein. It is involved in the co-translational targeting of proteins to membranes. NCBI's taxonomy places the organism in Eukaryota, Metazoa, Chordata, Mammalia, Primates, Cebidae. The record is from Ensembl.
GCUGGGCGUGGUGGUGCAUGCCUGUAAUCCCAGCUACUUGGGAGGCUGAGGCAGGAGAAUUGCUUGAACCUGGGAGUUGGAGGUUGCAGUCAGCCAAGAUGAGCCACUGCACUACAGCCUAGGUGACAGAGUGAGACUCAGCCUCAA